AACAAAACAAAACAUAAUUCCUUCACAUCUAAAAAUCUAAUUCCUUCUCAUCUAACAAACACAGAAAUUUGAAUCAGAAUUUCAGUCAAUAACUAACUUAACAGGAAAUUUCUGGAGCACCCAAAUAAGUAAUGAAACCAAUUUGAAGGAAAAAAAUAGACCUCUCAAUGACUUGAUAUCCAAUCUCUUUUAACACCAAUAGAAUUAUUCAGGCAUCCUCACCAAUUCCUUAAGAAAAAAUACAUUGAUAGAAGAUUCUACAAUUGUCUACUUUCACACCUUCUCUUUA
This 289-nucleotide unclassified non-coding RNA is filed under the name Hevea brasiliensis (rubber tree). Lineage: Eukaryota; Viridiplantae; Streptophyta; Magnoliopsida; Malpighiales; Euphorbiaceae. The record is from RNAcentral.